Molecule: non-coding RNA, 613 nt
Organism: Heterocephalus glaber (naked mole-rat)
Lineage: Eukaryota; Metazoa; Chordata; Mammalia; Rodentia; Bathyergidae
Source: RefSeq, a predicted model, not a curated record
GAAGCUGUUCACUGCCUCAUUCUCCUGGUCUGAGUAGAACUCAUCCAAAUUAAUCAGAGAAGAAGGAGAACAAAUACUUUCUGUUCUCCAGGGGCUGUUCUGAGCACUUUGCAUGGAUGAAUUCCUUCGUCUCAGAAAACCCUUGAGGAUGGCAAAGCUGAGACCCAGGCUUUCAGGAGCAGCACACAUAAGUGACCAAAGGAGCACAGAGGCAAGAAAUACUAUUAAUACUGAAAGGAACUGGAUAUGGUCUCACAGCAUCCAGCCUCAGAUGAUAUCAGAAACACACAAAUAUAGGAUCAUUACCUCCACUUUAAGGAUAAACAAACUGACAUUGCUAUGGUAGUAAAUGGUCGACUCCAAAUUCAAAUACAGUCCCACCUGGCGACACAGCAGAGUGGUAAUGAGCACAGAUUUGAGUCCCAUGCUUCCACUUGGGAUUCUGUAGAGUGAAGAGAAAAGGGUUUCCAGAGUUUGGGAGUCUCUGAAGCUGUCUGGAGUUUUAACUGCCCUCUCUGAAAUACGUGUUACAGGUCUGUCUUGUGGUUUGAGUGCCUACCUGGCUUUGGAAUAUUAUAAUCAUAAAAGAAAAAAGAGAGGAGACCACGCUGGG